This 496-nucleotide ribosomal RNA is filed under the name uncultured bacterium. RNAcentral's name for it is "partial 16S ribosomal RNA". It matches the Rfam family "Bacterial small subunit ribosomal RNA", at positions 28 to 507 of the family's 1533-position model. The record is from RNAcentral.
GAUGAACGCUGGCGGCGUGCCUAAUACAUGCAAGUCGAGCGAACGGACGAGAAGCUUGCUUCUCUGAUGUUAGCGGCGGACGGGUGAGUAACACGUGGAUAACCUACCUAUAAGACUGGGAUAACUUCGGGAAACCGGAGCUCAUACCGGAUAAUAUUUUGAACCGCAUGGUUCAAAAGUGAAAGACGGUCUUGCUGUCACUUAUAGAUGGAUCCGCGCUGCAUUAGCUAGUUGGUAAGGUAACGGCUUACCAAGGCAACGCUGCAUAGCCGACCUGAGAGGUGAACCGGCAAAAUGGAAACGGGAAAAGGGCCAGAAUCCUAAGGGAAGGAAGAGGAGGGAAAAUUUCGGAAAUGGGGAAAGGCUGAACGGAGCAAGGCGGGGGGGGGAAUAAGGGUUUUGGGAUGGAAAAAACUUUUAAUUGGGAAGAACAUAUGUGUAAGUAACUGUGCACAUCUUGACGGUACCUAAUCAGAAAGCCACGGCUAACUACGUG